GAGUGAUCGAAAGAUGAAAAGCACUUUGAAAAGAGAGUUAAACAGCACGUGAAAUUGUUGAAAGGGAAGCGCUUGCGACCAGACUCGCCUCCGGGGUUCAGCCGGCAUUCGUGCCGGUGUACUUCCCCGGGGGCGGGCCAGCGUCGGUUUGGGCGGCCGGUCAAAGGCCUCCGGAAUGUAGCGCCCUUCGGGGCGCCUUAUAGCCGGGGGUGCAAUGCGGCCAGCCUGGACCGAGGAACGCGCUUCGGCUCGGACGCUGGCAUAAUGGUCGUAAACGACCC
This 281-nucleotide ribosomal RNA is filed under the name Aspergillus flavipes. RNAcentral's name for it is "partial 28S ribosomal RNA". It matches the Rfam family "Eukaryotic large subunit ribosomal RNA", at positions 351 to 650 of the family's 3401-position model. Lineage: Eukaryota; Fungi; Ascomycota; Eurotiomycetes; Eurotiales; Aspergillaceae. The record is from RNAcentral.